This is a long non-coding RNA of Dalotia coriaria, 1297 nucleotides long. RefSeq lists it as uncharacterized. The transcript is spliced from 2 exons. Lineage: Eukaryota; Metazoa; Arthropoda; Insecta; Coleoptera; Staphylinidae. The record is from RefSeq and is a predicted model, not a curated record.
CCGACAAUUGUACAGUAUCUAUUAAAAAAGAUAAUGAAAAGAAUCACACUCAAGUCAUCACGAACCAUAUUAAACCUUGGUAAAUUUUUUGCAUGCAUUCCAAGCGAUGAAACAACACACUGGACAUACAGAAUGUUUUAUCCAAUGAUUAUGUUGAUAUUAAACGUUGCGGCUGCAGCUAUUUCGUUUUAUGGCCGAAUGAAACACAUGCAACAUAUUGAACAAACGUCCUACAGCUUAGCAUUAGCUUCGGAUGUCAUAUUAAUUUGCUGUACAGUGAUUCGGAUCGUUGUGAUUAACUAUCUCUGUAAUAAAGAAAAUAUUAUGAUGGAAGAUCAACUACGAAAUUUAGAAGCAACGCAGCUAAAACUAAAAACCGAGGAAGCGGAAAAUUCACGCCUCGAAAUUGUGAGCAUGCAUUUUGGUUUUGGAUUGUUUAUCGCAUGUAAUUUGACCAUAAUUCUCACCUCACUCUCCUGGUACACUUGGUAUUUCAUUAUACGAGAAUUCACACAUUAUCAAGUCCUGAUCUCUACUAGUGUGAUGAAAACGUACAUGAAAAUCAUACACAGCAAUUACCAAUAUAUUAACGAAGUACUGAACACUUUAAAGCCAACCAGUUUAUUUAUAAGCGAUAUGUCAAUGAACUCCAAUUACAAAUUUAAUAUUGAAUGGAUCUCCAAGCAAUACACGAAACUCUGGAUAACAAUUAGGCUUUUUAAUAAAGUUUAUGGAGUGUAUAUGGUUUGUAUUUAUAUUUACAUUACAAUCAAUUUAUUAGUGCCAUUCAACUUAGCUAUUGUUUAUGGGGGUGGAUAUAUUUUGGAAGACGGUAAACAGUUUGGGCCAUAUUUUGGCUUGAUGGCUAUUGUUUGGAGCGUUUUACCAGCGAUGAUUUUCCGUGAUAUAUUCCUCUCUGGAGAAAAUGUUUCAACUGAGAUUGAAAAAAUACCAGAAAAUUGUUAUCGAAUGAUGCUGCAAGUAGCUGAAUCAUAUCGAAAUGAUAUAAAGGAACUUGCGAUUGAAACUGCUUUAGUUAAACCAGUAUUUAGUGCAAACGGUUGGUUUGAAAUCAAUUACAAAAUGAUAUUGCCUACAAUUACAAUGAUUAUUUCAUAUAUCAUUGUCAUAAUUCAAUAUCAUGGCUAAUGUACUAUUUAUUUGUAUUGUUGCGUGUUAGAAUUUCAUGGUGUUGUUGAGUUAAACAACAUGUUUCGCCUCGUGGGCAUCGUCGGUUUUUUUUUGUGAAAUUUUAAAGAAAAUAUGUGAUUGUAUGACAAAUACAUACUUAAAUUUA